CUCGUGUCACGUGACUUCGUUCAGCGUUCAGAAUGGAGAAAGGAAACCGCUGAUUUUCUAUUUUCAAUUGUAAACGGGAAAGGAGAAUGGAAAACGGAAACUGCUGUUUUUCAAUGUUCAAUUGUAAAAGGAGAAAAGGACACGGGACUAUCGAAAAACGGGCCAAUUUGGAUUUGUUUUAUGGUUUUUUGAUUAAAACGGUUUUCUUGUUUUUUGUUUGAAAAAGAGAGGAAGAAAAACGGUUAUUUAAUUUUGGUUUACAGAUGAAUUUGGGAUUAUCCAAUGAUACCCAGACCGUUACAGCAAGCUGAAGACCCAGGCCCCUGAGCUGAAGUGCAUCAAGGUAGAUGAGGCCCUCGAGCUGGUCGGGAUAGACUUGAUUGAUGGGGAGCUCCUAAUUGCCUUCUUUCAGACCAGGGUUGAGAAUUUGUGGCUGAGAUCAACACUGAGGUCUGUAGAUCUCUCAACAUUAGUAGAUCAGUCACCGGUGCCUUCCACCACCAGACAAACGGGUUGGAUGAGAGAACCAACCAGACCCUGAAGAUGUGGUUCAGCAAGCUGGUCAACGAGCAUCAGACAGACUGGGAUAGCUUCCUAGAGGAUGUGGCGUACUCCGUCCGCGCCAGGAAGCAGGUCACCACGAAGUAUUCCCCUUUCUUUCUAAUGUUUGGUCGCCACCCAAGGCCCACCCAUGAGAUGGGCUCAGGGGAUGAACCAGACGAGGGGUUGCCCACAGCUCCCGAGGUCAACCUUGAUGAGAUGGUGGCCCGACGACAGGAAGUCAAGGCUGUGGUGAGGCAGGAUGCAAAGAUGAACUCUGAGAAAGCUCAGGAGAAGCAAAAGGAGACAUACAAAUGACACAAGGCGAAAGGAGUGAAGACUUUCUCCUUUUCCAACGGAGACAUCAUCCUGCGUAGAGUUAUGAAAAAUGCUGUGCGUAAGGGUGGUAAAAUGGAGUCUCUUUGGACUGGCCCGUACAGGUAUAUAAAGGCUGGGUUAUUGCCCCCACUUGGUUAGCUGCUUCACAACUGGUGUUAUGCUACCAUUCCCUGCCUCAUCCAAGCCACGUAAAAACACUGCAAUUACUGUCACUGCCGUAUACCGUACAACAGCAAUCAAAUUAUGAUUGACGUCUGCAAAGGCUGGUUCCACCGUGACUCUCAGAAGGUCCCCUGAGUAGUAACCGAAUCGACAAAGUUCCUACGUUGGUUUUGUGAAGAGGAUAGUGGCUAAAAAAAACAUGUUUUUUAGAACGUAUUCUAUGCUGUUCUUUUAUUGUUACAUGCAUUGUGUUUGGAUUGCAAAAAAAUACAUGUUUUAUAAUAUAUUCUAUGCAGUUUUUAAAAAUUAUUAUUGCAUGUAUUGUGUUUGUACAAAAGAAAUAUGUUUUAUAAUGUAUUCUAUGCAGUUUUUUAAAAUUAUUACAUGUAUUGCGUUUGUAUUAAAAAAAAAAAUUAUAAUUUAUUCAAUGCAGUUUUUUUUUAAUUUUUACAUGUAUUCUGUUUGGAUAAAAUAAAGCACAUGUGGGGAAAAAACA
Molecule: long non-coding RNA, 1537 nt
Filed under: Gouania willdenowi (blunt-snouted clingfish)
Lineage: Eukaryota; Metazoa; Chordata; Actinopteri; Blenniiformes; Gobiesocidae
Description: lncRNA (ENSGWIG00000007080.1)
Source: RNAcentral